AAAGUUACAACACAUUGAAUUGCAAAUUCAAACCUCCUCCCUUACUAU
Molecule: transfer RNA, 48 nt
Filed under: Pholcus phalangioides (longbodied cellar spider)
Lineage: Eukaryota; Metazoa; Arthropoda; Arachnida; Araneae; Pholcidae
Description: tRNA-Cys
Source: RNAcentral